RNAcentral lists this ribosomal RNA (636 nucleotides) under Variovorax paradoxus. RNAcentral describes it as "bacterial SSU rRNA". It matches the Rfam family "Bacterial small subunit ribosomal RNA", at positions 54 to 685 of the family's 1533-position model. Lineage: Bacteria; Pseudomonadati; Pseudomonadota; Betaproteobacteria; Burkholderiales; Comamonadaceae. The record is from RNAcentral.
CAUGCAAGUCGAACGGCAGCGCGGGAGCAAUCCUGGCGGCGAGUGGCGAACGGGUGAGUAAUACAUCGGAACGUGCCCAAUCGUGGGGGAUAACGCAGCGAAAGCUGUGCUAAUACCGCAUACGAUCUACGGAUGAAAGCAGGGGAUCGCAAGACCUUGCGCGAAUGGAGCGGCCGAUGGCAGAUUAGGUAGUUGGUGAGGUAAAGGCUCACCAAGCCUUCGAUYUGUAGCUGGUCUGARAGGACGACCAGCCACACUGGGACUGAGACACGGCCCAGACUCCUACGGGAGGCAGCAGUGGGGAAUUUUGGACAAUGGGCGAAAGCCUGAUCCAGCCAUGCCGCGUGCAGGAUGAAGGCCUUCGGGUUGUAAACUGCUUUUGUACGGAACGAAACGGUCUUUUCUAAUACAGAAGGCUAAUGASGGUACCGUAAGAAUAAGCACCGGCUAACUACGUGCCAGCAGCCGCGGUAAUACGUAGGGUGCAAGCGUUAAUCGGAAUUACUGGGCGUAAAGCGUGCGCAGGCGGUUAUGUAAGACAGUUGUGAAAUCCCGGGGCUCAACCUGGGAACUGCAUCUGUGACUGCAUAGCUAGAGUACGGUAGAGGGGGAUGGAAUUCCGCGUGUAGCAGUGAA